Molecule: long non-coding RNA, 592 nt
Filed under: Homo sapiens (human)
Lineage: Eukaryota; Metazoa; Chordata; Mammalia; Primates; Hominidae
Description: long non-coding RNA NONHSAT003779.2
Source: RNAcentral
AUGCUGGGAAGCUCACCUACAUAGACACAAAAUACGUGGUACAUGUGAAGAGUUAGAGACAGAAGAAGAGCAACAGUAUCUCACCUCAAGCUAUAUUAACAUCUCCACUGAUUCAUUACAAGGUGGCAAGAAGUACUUGGUUUGGGUCCAAGCAGCAAACGCACUAGGCAUGGAAGAGUCAAAACAACUGCAAAUUCACCUGGAUGAUAUAGUCCCCAGGUCACAUCAAAAGCAUUCCAACAUGACACAUGGAAUUCUGGGCUAACAGUUGCUUCCAUCUCUACAGGGCACCUUACUUCUGCAACAGAGGAGACAUUGGACUUUUAUUGGGAAUGAUCGUCUUUGCUGUUAUGUUGUCAAUUCUUUCUUUGAUUGGGAUAUUUAACAGAUCAUUCCGAACUGGAUUAAAAGAAGGAUCUUAUUGUUAAUACCAAAGUGGCUUUAUGAAGAUAUUCCUAAUAUGAAAAACAGCAAUGUUGUGAAAAUGCUACAGAAAAUAGUGAACUUAUGAAUAAUAAUUCCAGUGAGCAGGUCCUAUAUGUUGAUCCCAUGAUUACAGAGAUAAAAGAAAUCUUCAUCCCAGAACACAAGC